Cinara cedri is the source of this 346-nucleotide non-coding RNA. Lineage: Eukaryota; Metazoa; Arthropoda; Insecta; Hemiptera; Aphididae. The record is from the annotation of a GenBank genome assembly.
ACACACCCGCCCGUAGAGUUUCAUCGCGACCGACCGGAAAUACGACGGGGUUCGCGGCACGUAAAUAAAUAGACGGGACGCGCCGACGACGAUAUACUGGUUGGAGGGGGGGGGGCGCGUUCUACUUUCGCGGAAGACAGACAGACGGCAAUGGGCAUUUAUCAUCAAAUUAUAGUUUGAAUCUCGGGAUGGGGGUGAAACGUUCACAAAGCCGUUAUAUUGUAUUCGCAGCGCCAUAAUUAUGAAAUCCUGUCCAUUAAUUCGUUAUUUACAGGGAGGUGCGAUCACUGCCCCCCCCCCCACGGAUGAUGACAAAUAUAUAAACAAAACUGCCGAGAAAUUGCUU